GGGGGCGCAAUGGCUUCGACGUGUUGUUGCGGACAUAUAGUGCAUGCCGAGCGUUGUCUGAGUGCUCGUUAAACAAUCAGUCAAACAAUAAGUGCAGAAAACCCUUAUGGGAACGCACAAUCAUAUAGUUCUUCUACCGCAAUUUUUGCGUAAGAAAGCCUUAUGAUUCUUGCUAGUGACACGUGCCUGUCAGUGGAUCUAGCUCGUAAUAAUUCAGAUGGGACCGCCAAGUAAGAUUUUUUAGUUUUGUAGCUUGGUUUGUAUCACUGGACUGACGGCUAUAUUUUCUUGUGUCUUUACGGGUUUAUAGACGUAAUUUUAAAGACUAAGCAUGUAGUACUCUAUGGCUAAAGUGAUGCGGACAUGGGUUCGACUCCCAUCGCCUCCACCA
RNAcentral lists this transfer-messenger RNA (391 nucleotides) under bacterium. It matches the Rfam family "transfer-messenger RNA". Rfam says of the family: Bacterial tmRNA, also known as 10Sa RNA or SsrA, is named for its dual tRNA and mRNA-like properties. Its role is to liberate the mRNA from a stalled ribosome. The record is from RNAcentral. RNAcentral also lists the same sequence under 2 other names.